Molecule: microRNA precursor, 102 nt
Filed under: Marmota monax (woodchuck)
Lineage: Eukaryota; Metazoa; Chordata; Mammalia; Rodentia; Sciuridae
Source: RNAcentral
AGUAGAAUUGCUGGGUAAUAUGGUAAUUCUAUGUUUAACUUUGUGAGAAGUUGUAAAUCUCUUUUCCAAAGUGGCUGCACCAUUUUAUAUUAUUACAGCAGU